RNAcentral lists this ribosomal RNA (501 nucleotides) under uncultured archaeon. RNAcentral describes it as "bacterial SSU rRNA". It matches the Rfam family "Archaeal small subunit ribosomal RNA", at positions 17 to 495 of the family's 1478-position model. The record is from RNAcentral.
CCGGACCUUACUGCUAUCGGGGUGGGACUAANACNUGNNAGUUGAGCGUCUCUAGCUAUGUUGAGACGCAGCAGACGGCUCAGUAACACGUGGCUAACCUGCCCUCANGACGAGUAUAAUCCCGGGAAACUGGGGCUAAUACUCGAUAGGUGAGAAUAUCUGGAAUGAUUUCUCACUCAAAGGAUUUAGAAACAUGCUUCUAAUAUCGCCUGGGGAUGGGGCCGCGUCCGAUCAGGUUGUUGGUGAGGUAACGGCUCACCAAGCCUAUAACCGGUACGGGCCGUGAGAGCGGUAGCCCGGAGAUGGGUACUGAGACAAGGACCCAGGCCCUACGGGGCGCAGCAGUCGCGAAAACUCCGCAAUGCACGAAAGUGUGACGGGGCUACCCCGAGUGCUUCCCGCUGAGGGGGGCUUUUCUUUGGUAUAAUUAGCCAUUGGAAUAAGGAGAGGGCAAGACUGGUGUCAGCCGCCGCGGUAAUACCAGCUNCUCCGAGUGGUAGG